GCUUGAGAGAUCCCUGGAGGAAGCACGGGCUAAGUUCGUGCCAGCAGCCGCGGUAAGACGAACCGUGCGAACGUUGUUCGGAAUCACUGGGCAUAAAGGGCGCGUAGGCGGCUUAUAAAGUCAGUGGUGAAAUCCGGCAGCUUAACUGUCGAAGUGCCUCUGAUACUGAUGAGCUCGAGGGAGGUAGGGGUGUGCGGAACUUCCGGUGGAGCGGUGAAAUGCGUUGAUAUCGGAAGGAACGCCGGUGGCGAAAGCGGCGCACUGGACCUCUUCUGACGCUGAGGCGCGAAAGCUAGGGGAGCAAACGGGAUUAGAUACCCCGGUAGUCCUAGCCGUAAACGAU
Molecule: ribosomal RNA, 343 nt
Filed under: uncultured anaerobic ammonium-oxidizing bacterium
Lineage: Bacteria
Description: bacterial SSU rRNA
Rfam family: Bacterial small subunit ribosomal RNA
Source: RNAcentral